GCCUGGCAUGGUGGCGUGUGUCUGUAGUCUCAGCUACUUGGGAGGCUGAGACAAGAGGAUCACUUGAGUCCAGGAAUUGUAGGCUGCAGUGAGCUAUGGUUGCACCACUGCACUCCAGCCUGGAUGAUAAAGUGAGACCUUGUCUCUU
This 148-nucleotide signal recognition particle RNA is filed under the name Nomascus leucogenys (northern white-cheeked gibbon). Its description in RNAcentral is "Metazoan signal recognition particle RNA". It matches the Rfam family "Metazoan signal recognition particle RNA". Rfam says of the family: The signal recognition particle (SRP) is a universally conserved ribonucleoprotein. Lineage: Eukaryota; Metazoa; Chordata; Mammalia; Primates; Hylobatidae. The record is from Rfam by way of RNAcentral.